UACGUAGGUGGCAAGCGUUGUCCGGAAUUAUUGGGCGUAAAGCGCGCGCAGGCGGUUAUGUAAGUCUGGUGUUAAAGCCCGGGGCUCAAACUCGGGUCGCUUUGGAAACUGUGUAACUUGAGUGCCGAAGAGGAAAGUGGUAUUCCACGUGUAACGGUGAAAUGCGUAGAGAUUUGGAGGAACACCAUUGGCGAAGGCGACUUUCUGGUCUGUAACUGACGCUGAGGCGCGAAAGCGUGGGGAGCCAGCAGG
This 252-nucleotide ribosomal RNA is filed under the name uncultured bacterium. RNAcentral's name for it is "partial 16S ribosomal RNA". It matches the Rfam family "Bacterial small subunit ribosomal RNA", at positions 524 to 776 of the family's 1533-position model. The record is from RNAcentral.